GACGAACGCUGGCGGCGUGCCUAAUACAUGCAAGUUGAGCGCUGAAGGUUGGUACUUGUACCAACUGGAUGAGCAGCGAACGGGUGAGUAACGCGUGGGGAAUCUGCCUUUGAGCGGGGGACAACAUUUGGAAACGAAUGCUAAUACCGCAUAAAAACUUUAAACACAAGUUUUAAGUUUGAAAGAUGCAAUUGCAUCACUCAAAGAUGAUCCCGCGUUGUAUUAGCUAGUUGGUGAGGUAAAGGCUCACCAAGGCGAUGAUACAUAGCCGACCUGAGAGGCUGCUAGGCCAAGUUGGGCUGAGAACACGGCCCACCACACUACGAGAGGCAGACGGCGGGAAUCUUCGGGGAUGGCAGAAAGGCUGACCGAGGAACGCUGGGUGAGUGACGAAGGUUGUCGGGUCGUAAAACUGAGGUAGUAGAGAAGAUCGUAGGUGAGAGUGGAAAGCGCAUCUAGUGACGGUACCUACCCAGAAAGGGACGGCUAACUCCGUG
This 497-nucleotide ribosomal RNA is filed under the name uncultured bacterium. Its description in RNAcentral is "partial 16S ribosomal RNA". It matches the Rfam family "Bacterial small subunit ribosomal RNA", at positions 28 to 507 of the family's 1533-position model. The record is from RNAcentral.